RNAcentral lists this ribosomal RNA (500 nucleotides) under uncultured bacterium. RNAcentral describes it as "bacterial SSU rRNA". It matches the Rfam family "Bacterial small subunit ribosomal RNA", at positions 8 to 495 of the family's 1533-position model. The record is from RNAcentral.
AGAGUUUGAUCCUGGCUCAGAUUGAACGCUGGCGGCAGGCCUAACACAUGCAAGUCGAGCGGCAGCGGGAAAGUAGCUUGCUACCUUUGCCGGCGAGCGGCGGACGGGUGAGUAAUGCCUGGGGAUCUGCCCAGUCGAGGGGGAUAACAGUUGGAAACGACUGCUAAUACCGCAUACGCCCUACGGGGGAAAGGAGGGGACCUUCGGGCCUUUCGCGAUUGGAUGAACCCAGGUGGGAUUAGCUAGUUGGUGAGGUAAUGGCUCACCAAGGCGACGAUCCCUAGCUGGUCUGAGAGGAUGAUCAGCCACACUGGAACUGAGACACGGUCCAGACUCCUACGGGAGGCAGCAGUGGGGAAUAUUGCACAAUGGGGGAAACCCUGAUGCAGCCAUGCCGCGUGUGUGAAGAAGGCCUUCGGGUUGUAAAGCACUUUCAGCGAGGAGGAAAGGUUGGCAGCUAAUAUCUGUCAGCUGUGACGUUACUCGCAGAAGAAGCACCG